GAGGGGAGUUCUGAAGGGCGACCCUAAAGAUGGAGAGCAGGAGAUGAAGACUCACCACCCCCUCAACAUCAAACCCCCGCUAACGAAACCGGAAUCCUCCUCGGCCUGGGCAUCCCGCCCCUGCUCGGUGCCCCGCUUCUCUUCCCCCCUGUGCUCCCCCGUUAGGGUCUGGUAGCCGAGACAGCUGGAUGUCCAGCGCCAGACCCUUCCCCCCAGAAACCUGGCCCCUGUUUUACAAGGCAAUCAAGAGGCCUGUCCUUACAACUGUUCAGGACCCAGAACUAUUGAAGAUGACUCCAUUUUCUCCACAGUGGAAGAAGAAGGAAAAAAGUCAAACAUUCAUCUAUUGAUGAUAGUACCAACAAAAUCCUGGGGACCAUCGUCCAUAAAGCCCAAAUGGUCAGAACCAGUCUUCCCUGUUGCACCGGAUCCUGAAGAAGGACCAACAGAAGAGAUAAGAAAACUAAGGCCCAAGAUCACAGAGCAAGUUAGGUGGCGGGGACUCUUGAAUCCUGACCCACCCUUCCAUCCCAUCCUACAACCCUAGGGAUUUCCUUACUGUGUGACUUUAUCUGCCAAAAACCUACUUUGUCCAUCCUUCACCAGAAGUGCCCAAGACCAACUGAGGACCCAAGGCCCCCCCGGACCUCUCCGUACCUCUCCGUACCUGCGCAAGCCACUUAACCACCAGGUGGCACUAACUGGCCGCUUGCUCCGAGGGAAGUGAGGAGGAGGUCCCUGAAGUCCAUGAGUGGGAGGGCCACCCUGGCCCUCCUAGGAAUCCUUUGUCCUCCCUUAGGCCCUGGUUGGGACCAGCUUUGAGGAUGGGUCCUAAAUUUUCAAGGAAUAAUAAUAAGAAUAAACAUGAGGCCCAGGCCAAUGCAAUCUGUCUCUUGAGCUUGUCCUCCUAAAACACACAAGCUAAGCAGCCCAGCUUGCUCUUGGAGCCACCAUCCCAUGGCUUGGAAAUUGUUACCCAGAAUUUGGCAGGAAUAAUGCCAAAUAUUUGUACAGGGAAUUUACAGUUUUCAAAGCACUUCCAAGCCCAUUUUCUCAUUAGAUCAUUUGAUCAUUGACUUCAUGUGGAGCAAGUUUAAUUGACCCCAUCUUAAAGAUGGGGAAACUGAGGCUCAAAGAUUAAAUAAGUUGCCCAAACUCAAUAACAAAGUGAAAAUAGAAGUAGGACCCAUGUCUCCUGACUUCUAAUAGAAGACUCUCCAAUACUGGGUGCCUCAUUUAAUAAUCCCAGGCAGAAAACCAAGUCAUAGAGUCAGAGACCUGGUUUCCAAUCCCCCUCCUAACUUUUGAGGUUUACCAUCUGUGUGAACUUGGACAAAUCACCGGAUUUCCCUAGGUCCCAGUUUCCUUACAUGGACUCUAAUGUCCUUACUAAAUUUAAAUGUAUCUCCUACCCCACCCUGCACAGUCCUGGGCAAGAUGGAUGGGAGAAACAUUCAUUUCAUUAUAGUCUGUCACAGUCCCAGAAAGCCUAUUCUUAAACUCUUCCCUCCUCUUUGGAGUCAGAGGGUCUUCACAGGCUUCUAGUUUACAAUUUAAAUGCAAAUACCCUUUGGACAGGGAUUUCCCUCCCAUCAAUAAAACCAGGGUUAAGUCAAGGAUGGAAAAGUUGGGGGGGGGGGGGCGGGGAGAAGGAGUGAGGAACUUAAGCAUAAUCAAAGCUCCAUAAGGACAUUAACAUUCAUUUUAGUCUUCAUGUCCCCAACAACUUAUUACCUAG
Molecule: long non-coding RNA, 1738 nt
Organism: Sarcophilus harrisii (Tasmanian devil)
Lineage: Eukaryota; Metazoa; Chordata; Mammalia; Dasyuromorphia; Dasyuridae
Source: Ensembl